Molecule: ribosomal RNA, 492 nt
Filed under: uncultured bacterium
Lineage: Bacteria
Description: partial 16S ribosomal RNA
Rfam family: Bacterial small subunit ribosomal RNA
Source: RNAcentral
AGUGAACGCUGGCGGUAGGCCUAACACAUGCAAGUCGAACGGCAGCACAGUAAGAGCUUGCUCUUACGGGUGGCGAGUGGCGGACGGGUGAGGAAUACAUCGGAAUCUACUUUUUCGUGGGGGAUAACGUAGGGAAACUUACGCUAAUACCGCAUACGACCUACGGGUGAAAGCAGGGGAUCUUCGGACCUUGCGCGAUUGAAUGAGCCGAUGUCGGAUUAGCUAGUUGGCGGGGUAAAGGCCCAACAAGGCGACGAUCCGUAGCUGGUCUGAGAGGAUGAUCAGACACACUGGAACUGAGACACGGUCCAGACUCCUACGGGAGGCAGCAGUGGGGAAUAUUGGACAAUGGGCGAAAGCCUGCUCCAGCCAUACCGCGUGAGUGAAGAAGGCCUUCGGGUUGUAAAGCCCUUUUGUUGGGAAAGAAAAGCAGCAGGUUAAUACCCCGCUGUUCUGACGGUACCCAAAGAAUAAGCACCGGCUAACUUCGUG